AGAACGAACGCUGGCGGCAUGCCUAACACAUGCAAGUCGAACGCCCCGCAAGGGGAGUGGCGGACGGGUGAGUAACACGUGGGAACCUGCCCAAUGGUCUGGAAUAACCGCGGGAAACUGCGGCUAAUACCGGAUAAGCCCGAGAGGGGAAAGAUUUAUCGCCGAUGGAGGGGCCCGCGUCCGAUUAGGUAGUUGGUGGGGUAAUGGCCUACCAAGCCUACGAUCGGUAGCUGGUCUGAGAGGAUGAUCAGCCACACUGGGACUGAGAUACGGCCCAGACUCCUACGGGAGGCAGCAGUGGGGAAUAUUGGACAAUGGGGGCAACCCGUGAUCCAGCAAUGCCGCGUGAGUGAUGAAGGCCUUAGGGUUGUAAAGCUCUUUUGGGCGGGACGAUGAUGACGGUACCGCAGAAUAAGCCCGGCUAACUUCGCGCCAGCAGCCG
RNAcentral lists this ribosomal RNA (442 nucleotides) under uncultured bacterium. RNAcentral describes it as "SSU rRNA". It matches the Rfam family "Bacterial small subunit ribosomal RNA", at positions 26 to 517 of the family's 1533-position model. The record is from RNAcentral.